AGAGUUUGAUCCUGGCUCAGAAUGAACGCUGGCGGCGUGCUUAACACAUGCAAGUCGAACGGUAACAGGAAGUAGCUUGCUAGUUUGCUGACGAGUGGCGCACGGGUGAGUAAUAUAUAGAUAAUGUGCCCCUUGGACCGGGAUAGCCAUUGGAAACGAUGAUUAAUACCGGAUACUCCUUCUUACCAUAAGGUAAGUCGGGAAAUGGAUUCCGCCAAGGGAUCGGUCUAUAUCCCAUCAGUUAGUUGGUAGUGUAAGAGACUACCAAGACGAUGACGGGUAGCGGGUUUGAGAGGAUGAUCCGCCACACUGGUACUGAGACACGGACCAGACUCCUACGGGAGGCAGCAGUGAGGAAUAUUGCACAAUGGGGGAAACCCUGAUGCAGCAACGCCGCGUGGAGGAUGACGCAUUUCGGUGUGUAAACUCCUUUUAUAUGUCAAGAAAAUGACGGUAGCAUAUGAAUAAGCACCGGCUAACUCCGUGCCAGCAGCCGCGGUAAUACGGAGGGUGCAAGCGUUAUUCGGAAUCACUGGGCGUAAAGGACGCGUAGGCGGGUUGGAAAGUCAGAUGUGAAAUCCUACAGCUUAACUGUAGAACUGCAUUUGAAACUUCCAAUCUAGAGUAUGGGAGGGGGAGAUGGAAUUAGUGGUGUAGGGGUAAAAUCCGUAGAUAUCACUAGGAAUACCGAAAGCGAAGGCGAUCUCCUGGAACAUAACUGACGCUAAGGCGUGAAAGCGUGGGGAGCAAACAGGAUUAGAUACCCUGGUAGUCCACGCCCUAAACGAUGUUCACUAGUCGUCGGGAUGCUAGUCAUCUCGGUGAUGCACUUAACAGAUUAAGUGAACCGCCUGGGGAGUACGGUCGCAAGAUUAAAACUCAAAGGAAUAGACGGGGACCCGCACAAGUGGUGGAGCAUGUGGUUUAAUUCGAAGAUACGCGAAGAACCUUACCUAGCCUUGACAUUGAGAGAACCUGCCAGAGAUGGCGGGGUGCCCUUCGGGGAGCUCGAAAACAGGUGCUGCACGGCUGUCGUCAGC
RNAcentral lists this ribosomal RNA (1040 nucleotides) under Sulfurimonas sp. 1H30-CRC-S. RNAcentral's name for it is "bacterial SSU rRNA". It matches the Rfam family "Bacterial small subunit ribosomal RNA", at positions 8 to 1059 of the family's 1533-position model. The record is from RNAcentral. Lineage: Bacteria; Pseudomonadati; Campylobacterota; Epsilonproteobacteria; Campylobacterales; Sulfurimonadaceae.